This 249-nucleotide ribosomal RNA is filed under the name uncultured Desulfurococcaceae archaeon. Its description in RNAcentral is "partial 16S ribosomal RNA". It matches the Rfam family "Archaeal small subunit ribosomal RNA", at positions 960 to 1216 of the family's 1478-position model. The record is from RNAcentral. Lineage: Archaea; Thermoproteati; Thermoproteota; Thermoprotei; Desulfurococcales; Desulfurococcaceae.
UAACGACUUUGCCCGACGCGCUGAGAGGUGGCGCAUGGCCGUCGCCAGCUCGUGCCGUGAGGUGUCUGGUUAAGUCCAGGAAACGAGCGAGACCUUCGCCUUUAGUUGCCACCGCGUAAGCGGGCACACUAAAGGGACCGCCACCGUUAAGGUGGAGGAAGGAGGGGGCAACGGCAGGUCAGCAUGCCCCGAAUCACCUGGGCCGCACGCGGGCUGCAAUGGUGGAGACAAUGGGCUCCGAACCCGAAA